RNAcentral lists this ribosomal RNA (538 nucleotides) under bacterium nfme09x37p20. RNAcentral's name for it is "bacterial SSU rRNA". It matches the Rfam family "Bacterial small subunit ribosomal RNA", at positions 48 to 599 of the family's 1533-position model. The record is from RNAcentral.
GCUACACAUGCAGUCGACGAUGAUGCCCAGCUUGCUGGGUGGAUUAGUGGCGAACGGGUGAGUAAUACGUGAGUAACCUGCCCUUGACUCUGGGAUAAGCCUGGGAAACUGGGUCUAAUACUGGAUACUACCNNCCAUCGCAUGGUGGGUGGUGGAAAGGGUUUUACUGGUUUUGGAUGGGCUCACGGCCUAUCAGCUUGUUGGUGGGGUAAUGGCUCACCAAGGCGACGACGGGUAGCCGGCCUGAGAGGGUGACCGGCCACACUGGGACUGAGACACGGCCCAGACUCCUACGGGAGGCAGCAGUGGGGAAUAUUGCACAAUGGGCGGAAGCCUGAUGCAGCGACGCCGCGUGAGGGAUGACGGCCUUCGGGUUGUAAACCUCUUUCAGUAGGGAAGAAGCGAGAGUGACGGUACCUGCAGAAGAAGCGCCGGCUAACUACGUGCCAGCAGCCGCGGUAAUACGUAGGGCGCAAGCGUUGUCCGGAAUUAUUGGGCGUAAAGAGCUCGUAGGCGGGUUGUCGCGUCUGCUGUGAAG